RNAcentral lists this long non-coding RNA (1147 nucleotides) under Phasianus colchicus (ring-necked pheasant). RNAcentral describes it as "lncRNA (ENSPCLG00000020286.1)". The record is from RNAcentral. Lineage: Eukaryota; Metazoa; Chordata; Aves; Galliformes; Phasianidae.
UCCCAAUAAACGGAACCGCCCCCCCCCAAACCCAAAACCCCAAACCGUCCCGGAGCUGCGGUGACCCGCAAAGUUGGGGGGGGGGUGGGGGGGUCCGGUCAUGAAUGCUCGUCUGUGCUGUCGGACCUCCCAGGCGGCGGCCGCCAACGGCACCGGACCGGGACCGACAACAGGACCGGGACCGGGACCGACAUCGGGACCGGGACCGGACCGACAACAGGACCGGGACCGGACCGACAACAGGACCGGGACCGACAUCGGGACCGGGACCGGGACCGACAUCGGGACCCGGACCGACAACAGGACCGACACCGGACCGACAACAGGAACGGGACGGACACGGAGACCGAAACCAGGACCGACAACAGGACCGGGACCGACACCGGGACCCGGACCGACAACAGGACCGGGACCGAUAACAGGACCGACAACAGGACCGGGACGGACACGGAGACCGGAACCAGGACCGACAACAGGACCGGGACCGACAACAGGACCGGGACCGGACCGACAACAGGACCAGGACGGACACGGAGACCGGGACCGGGACCAGGACCGACAACAGGACCGGGACGGACACGGAGACCGGGACCGACAACAGGACCGGGACCGACAACAGUCCGGGACCGACAUCGGGACCGGGACCAGGAUCGAUAACAGGACCGGGACCGACACGGGAACCGGGACCAACACCGGGUGGACACCAGGACCGACACCGACACCGACACCGACACCCCCCGGUCCGGACACGGCAGGACGACGAACCGCCGCCACCUCCCCGCCUCCCCGCCAGCGGCUCUCGAUCGCCCCAUCGGUUCGGGCGGUUCCGUUCGUCGGUCCGGCGCGGUACCGGAUUCUCUUACCUUGCAGCUCCUUCCGAACCGCACCGGCAGCGUUCAGCGCCAACAGCGCCAACAGCGCCCGCAACCCCGCAGCGCCCCGCAACGCCGAACCCAUCCCGACGGAACCGGCGGUGCGGAGCGCGGCGGGGCGGAGCGGAGAAGCGGAGGGGCGGCCGUUCAAAAACGAGGAGGAAACAAAGAACCGCCAAUCAGCGACGGACAGAACCGGGGAGUCCCGGAGGAAUAACGGAGGAUCCCGCAACGCCGCCCCGCACGAACCCCGCAGCAACGCCGUCCGGAGCGGC